UCAGUGUGUUGACACUGAAAGUAGGUGGUUCUCAUUAAUACAUCAGCCUCAUUAGAGCCACAUAUCACAGUGUGUUGACACUGAAAGUAGGUGGUUCUCAUGUAAUACAUCAGCCUCAUAUCACAGUGUGUUGACACUGAAAGUAGGUGGUUCUCAUGUAAUACAUCAGCCUCAUUAGAGCCUCAUAUCACAGUGUGUUGACACUGAAAGUAGGUGGUUCUCAUGUAAUACAUCAGCCUCAUUAGAGCCUCAUAUCACAGUGUGUUGACACUGAAAGUAGGUGGUUCUCAUGUAAUACAUCAGCCUCAUUAGAGCCUCAUAUCACAGUGUGUUGACACUGAAAGUAGGUGGUUCUCAUGUAAUACAUCAGCCUCAUUAGAGCCACAUAUCACAGUGUGUUGACACUGAAAGUAGGUGGUUCUCAUGUAAUACAUCAGCCUCAUAUCACAGUGUGUUGACACUGAAAGUAGGUGGUUCUCAUGUAAUACAUCAGCCUCAUUAGAGCCACAUAUCACAGUGUGUUGACACUGAAAGUAGGUGGUUCUCAUGUAAUACAUCAGCCUCAUAUCACAG
This is a long non-coding RNA of Oncorhynchus keta (chum salmon), 573 nucleotides long. RefSeq lists it as uncharacterized. The record is from RefSeq and is a predicted model, not a curated record. The transcript has 3 exons. NCBI's taxonomy places the organism in Eukaryota, Metazoa, Chordata, Actinopteri, Salmoniformes, Salmonidae.